Molecule: long non-coding RNA, 1177 nt
Filed under: Oryzias javanicus (javanese ricefish)
Lineage: Eukaryota; Metazoa; Chordata; Actinopteri; Beloniformes; Adrianichthyidae
Description: lncRNA (ENSOJAG00000002515.1)
Source: RNAcentral
AAAGUGACGCUUUUGCACUUUGUGACAUCUGUCUGAGUAAAGGUGGUGUACAAAGAAAAGGAACUUACGGUAAGAUCUACGUCUGGUAGUUUAGUAGAAACACACCCCCACAGAGCUGAUGAAGACGAGCUCGCACUUCCUUUCUGCGCCACAUUUGAGGCUCAGCUGUCGGGCGCGGCGCCUCACCCGUGUCCUGCAGCUCGCCCGCUGCAGACCCCGCUGCAGGAUGAACGCCCGGUGGUGGAGCUUCCUGUUCGGACUUGUGUGUGUGCGUGCCGAGGGGACGCGCUGGACAGCCUCUCAGAGCCCGGCAUCCAUCCGUCGAGUGGAGAUCAACUCGUCUCUGGAGAUCUCCUGCUCCACAUCGCUGCCCCGCGUGCUGUCGUUGAGCCUGCACAGGCUUUUCAAGUCCGACGCGCAAAUCGUGUACCUGUCUUUGAACGACGGCGAAAUCACCAAACAAAAUCCCCGCGCGGACUACGUAGACCGGGUCCGUGUGACCGGAGAGCGUUCGGAGUCGGAGUACCAGGUGACGCUGCGGCUGUCCGAGCUACAGCAGGACGACACCGACUUGUACUACUGCAGCUGGACGUACACAGAGGCGUAUGCCGUGGAGCAUCUGAGAAGCAACGGCACCGUCCUCAUCGUGGGAGAGAAAAGGCCUGAACCCCGGUGCCAGAUGCCCCCCCUGGACCUGGUCUUGGUCUGUGCGGGAACCACGGCGUCCGUCCUCAUCCUGUGCUUCUGCGGGGUCUACUUCUACAGGGGCAGACGAACUAAAGGGAACUUUAUCCCCGCGCGCCCCCCAGGACAGACAGACCCCCCAGACACAGAUCCUGCAGCUGCAACUCCAACCCCCCCCAGAUCCAACCGUAUUUAGUCACUUCGUUACAAUCGCCUUACUUUCACAGGUGAUCUGCACCAGCACCUCAACAGGCUCUUCGCUUUCCUGCCUAAUUUGUUGUAUCUGCAGAAAAAGCGUCAGCCACCACUUCCUGGCCGAGGCGCCGCUCGCCAUGGCUGGUAGAGGGAAGGUGCACAGCAAGCAUUGUAUCUGUUCAGCACAUCGACUUUUCCUUUGAAGUUUUUUUUCCUGUAAUGACUUGUCAAGACUUUUGAAGUUUUUUUUUUUCUGUAAAUGUUUCAUAAAAAAUGCAAUAAAUCUGCAAAAACCAUC